Non-coding RNA from Pantherophis guttatus, 405 nucleotides. The record is from RefSeq and is a predicted model, not a curated record. NCBI's taxonomy places the organism in Eukaryota, Metazoa, Chordata, Lepidosauria, Squamata, Colubridae.
AUUUCUUUCCCCUUCCAAGUGGUACUUACAGCAAAAUUAUGCCUUCUUCCCUUCCUUGUGGCCAUCCCAGGCACCAUCACUGAACCAAGGGAGGAAUUAAGGAGGACAGAUGUCUCUAUCUGAAAGAGGACAAAUGUCUCCAAGAGGAGAAAAAGGAAUAUCUCAGAAAUUAGAGAUCAAUCACUCAGGGCAAGAUAGCUCUUCAGAAGCUCUAGGAGUAAAGCAGAAGCCUCCAUCAGGUCACAAGUUUCUUUAAAGGAGAAGCUGACUACAUUUUUUCAAAACUGACUAUUGAAGAUUAAAAAUUCACCUUGAAUAUGAAAAUCUUCUGCAUCUGGAGCUCUUUGUUCAACUGACAUUAUCCCACAAUUGUGUUAAAACAACUCAGCUAAAGUAAACUCAAAU